Molecule: ribosomal RNA, 432 nt
Filed under: uncultured bacterium
Lineage: Bacteria
Description: partial 16S ribosomal RNA
Rfam family: Bacterial small subunit ribosomal RNA
Source: RNAcentral
CCUACGGGAGGCAGCAGUCGGGAAUUUUGCCCAAUGAGCGAAAGCUUGAGGCAGCAACUCCGCGUGAGGGAUGAAGGCUCUCGGGUCGUAAACCUCUUUUCUCAGGGAAACGGUACCUGAGGAAUAAGCGACGGCUAACUACGUGCCAGCAGCCGCGGUAAUACGUAGGUCGCAAGCGUUGUCCGGAUUUACUGGGCGUAAAGAGCGCGCAGGCGGCUGGUCAAGUCCGAUGUGAAAUCUCCCGGCUCAACUGGGAAACAGCAUCGGAAACUGAUCGGCUUGAAGAUGGGAGAGGGUAGUGGAAUUCCCGGUGUAGUGGUGAAAUGCGUAGAUAUCGGGAGGAACACCAGUGGCGAAGGCGACUACCUGGCCCAUCUUGACGCUGAGGCGCGAAAGCUAGGGGAGCGAACGGGAUUAGAUACCCUUGUAGUC